RNAcentral lists this long non-coding RNA (1381 nucleotides) under Olea europaea subsp. europaea. The record is from RNAcentral. Lineage: Eukaryota; Viridiplantae; Streptophyta; Magnoliopsida; Lamiales; Oleaceae.
UUAGCAUGCUUUUUCUCAACAGAGGUUGCGUGUUCCUUGCUAUUUAAAAACUACCGUGUUUGGUCAUCCCGGAGUUGGGCAUCACCAUCUUCACAGUUGCGGGUCAAUAUGCUGGGGUUUUCGCGGUAGUAACAAUUGCGACUUCAGAUUCGUGAGGUAGUCGGGGGAAAUGUACAAGAUGAUUUCAGAUCAGGAAGUGAAGGGAUUCGGUGGGGGCGAGUGAAAUCUCAGAAGGGGUGGAUUCGGUGGGGGUAGGAUGAAAUCUUAGUAGUGGUGGGAAAUGAACUAAUGUGGUAUGUUAAUCCAAACAUUUGGUCUCUUUCUUCUUUUCGAUUUUUUGACCAAAUUGGUCAAUCACCAAAAACUCAUUGUACACAUCAAUUUUUAAAUUUCUGUAUGGGUUCUAUCAGCCGUCUUCUAUACAAGAGGCUUUAGUGUAGAGCAAUGCAACUAUGUGUACAGAAGACGGUUGACAGAAGAAUUCCAGAUGAGCUAUCAAUCGUUUUUAGUGAAAAAAAAAAACUAACCAUUUUUUGAACGAGCAAAUGUCAAAUUUUUUUUAUUCCAACCAAAUCCCACUUUCUUCUCGCUGAACCCACAUCGUGAAUCAUUAAUUCCUAUGAACUCCUUCAGGUUUUCUUCGCCAUCUCUACCUGCUAUCUAUCCUUUGAACAAUAAAGAAGUCAAUAUCUCUAUCUUUGUAAUAUUACUAACUGCAUAAACCCUUUAUUCCUACUAAUUUUGCCGUCGCUAUCAUCAUAAUCUCUGGCUGUCGGCGAUGUCUCAAACGUGGAACUAUCACCGAUUUCAUAGCAUUUUAAAAUGGUAAGAUUUGAAGGUGUUUCAAAAAAUUAUUUAUGGGUUUUUUCACACUCACUGUACACUUUAAGAUUUUUGGGUUUUUGAACAAAUUAGGACUUGAUGUUUUGUUGAAGAUAUGGGAUAUGUAUGAGAUUGUUGAGAAGUUGUGAAAUGGACAUAGUUUGUAUUUUGGUAAAAGUAUAAUGCAGUGCCUAUUUCAUAAAAUUGAGCAGGAAUGGCAAUCAAAGUGCACUAUCACAAUUAACUUAAGUUACAAUAUUUGGGAAAAGUCUACCAAACUUUGUACAUCUUUUAAUCAAGAAAGUAUGACAAUUAGCAUGCUUUUUCUCAAUAGAGGUCCUUGGGUUCCUUGUUAUUUGAAGACUACAUUUUUGGCCAUCAUCGGAGUUGGACAUCACCAUCUUCACAGUCGGGGUGUGAUGUUGUUGCGGGUAAGUAUGUUGGGGUUUUCAUCAUAGCCGACAGUUGUGACUUUAGAUUUGGGAGGUAGUCGAUGGAAAUGUAUAAGAUGACUUCAGAUCCAAAAGUGGAGGAUUCGGCAGGGGCGGGUGAAAUCUUU